RNAcentral lists this long non-coding RNA (203 nucleotides) under Gossypium raimondii (Peruvian cotton). RNAcentral's name for it is "long non-coding RNA (GRAI_LNC007438)". Lineage: Eukaryota; Viridiplantae; Streptophyta; Magnoliopsida; Malvales; Malvaceae. The record is from RNAcentral.
UUUCUUAAAAGUUCUGUAAGGUUGCACGGGUCACCUAAGUCGACUGUGGACCUAUUGUAGGGUCGGUAAGCUUUACUUAAACCCCUAUAUGUGUGAUCUGUCUGUCUGAUUUCUGUACCGAGCAUGACUUAUGAUAUCUGAAUGUAUUUACUAUUAAUUGCAUAAUUGCAUGACAUAUUUUGUAUGUUGCAUUGCAACGAGGU